Molecule: long non-coding RNA, 438 nt
Organism: Dreissena polymorpha
Lineage: Eukaryota; Metazoa; Mollusca; Bivalvia; Myida; Dreissenidae
Exons: 3
Source: RefSeq, a predicted model, not a curated record
AUCAAAAGGAGAAGAUUGUUUUUGGGAAGUAAAUCACGACUUUGGAACAUAUCCCAGCCUUGUAGUCGUGCGGACAAUACUUGAUGAUUUCAGACUGACAAACCAUUCAUUGAGAUCUGACGCCAUUGGUUCAGGAUUCAUCUGUUACUAUGAUAAAUCUUUCGAACAAGGAAUUCUUAUGUAUGGAUUCAACGAGACAACAUUCCGAAUAUGGACGGAAAUACAGCUGCUGAACUCCCACUAUCUUUACUGUGCGGGCGAUGGGCAAGGAUUCGGGAUCUGUGUGCAACAUGGAACGCUAGAAAUACUGGCUUGGAAGGAGAUGACCUUAGCACCAACAGAGACAAUUAAUCUGUUUUUGGGGACACAUGCUAAAGAACGUUUUGAUCAGGAAAAGCUCAUGUCGACCGAAACAAGAGGCCACAAUUACUUUGUUCA